Molecule: non-coding RNA, 184 nt
Filed under: Escherichia coli
Lineage: Bacteria; Pseudomonadati; Pseudomonadota; Gammaproteobacteria; Enterobacterales; Enterobacteriaceae
Description: 6S RNA
Rfam family: 6S / SsrS RNA
About the family: E. coli 6S RNA was the first non coding RNA to be sequenced, but its function was unknown until recently. It consists of 184 nucleotides that fold into an extended hairpin structure with a large single-stranded internal bulge. The 6S RNA specifically associates with RNA polymerase holoenzyme containing the sigma70 specificity factor.
Source: RNAcentral
AUUUCUCUGAGAUGUUCGCAAGCGGGCCAGUCCCCUGAGCCGAUAUUUCAUACCACAAGAAUGUGGCGCUCCGCGGUUGGUGAGCAUGCUCGGUCCGUCCGAGAAGCCUUAAAACUGCGACGACACAUUCACCUUGAAGCAAGGGUUCAAGGGUUACAGCCUGCGGCGGCAUCUCGGAGAUUCC